UGGGGAAUAUUGCACAAUGGGCGCAAGCCUGAUGCAGCCAUGCCGCGUGUGUGAAGAAGGCCUUCGGGUUGUAAAGCACUUUCAGCGAGGAGGAAGGUGGUGAGCUUAAUACGCCCAUCAAUUGACGUUACUCGCAGAAGAAGCACCGGCUAACUCCGUGCCAGCAGCCGCGGUAAUACGGAGGGUGCAAGCGUUAAUCGGAAUUACUGGGCGUAAAGCGCACGCAGGCGGUUUGUUAAGUCAGAUGUGAAAUCCCCGGGCUCAACCUGGGAACUGCAUUUGAAACUGGCAAGCUAGAGUCUCGUAGAGGGGGGUAGAAUUCCAGGUGUAGCGGUGAAAUGCGUAGAGAUCUGGAGGAAUACCGGUGGCGAAGGCGGCCCCCUGGACGAAGACUGACGCUCAGGUGCGAAAGCGUGGGGCAGCAAACAGGAUUAGAUACCCUGGUAGUCCACGCUGUAAACGAUGUCGAUUUGGAGGUUGUGCCCUUGAGGCGUGGCUUCCGGAGCUAACGCGUUAAAUCGACCGCCUGGGGAGUACGGCCGCAAGGUUAAAACUCAAAUGAAUUGAC
RNAcentral lists this ribosomal RNA (568 nucleotides) under uncultured bacterium. RNAcentral describes it as "partial 16S ribosomal RNA". It matches the Rfam family "Bacterial small subunit ribosomal RNA", at positions 355 to 914 of the family's 1533-position model. The record is from RNAcentral.